Molecule: long non-coding RNA, 714 nt
Organism: Scylla paramamosain (green mud crab)
Lineage: Eukaryota; Metazoa; Arthropoda; Malacostraca; Decapoda; Portunidae
Exons: 4
Source: RefSeq, a predicted model, not a curated record
UCGCAGUUGGAACCAUCCUCUCUCGUGGUGCCUGGAUUCGGUUACAUUGUCGUGAGUUAAAAGAAGACGUUAUGAACACUCACACAAGUACACUCACACGCCUGAGCUACUUAUGUUGUGCUGUAUUUUGGACAUUCAAGUUAAAGGCAAACACGUGUCAAGUUAAAGGCAAACUUGUGAAGUCUUGUUACUGUAACGUCAUUUGCUUUCGUUAAGUAGUCUCAACUCACACGAUCCCAGCCUUCGUAAGGAAGAAGAUCCAUAGAGAAGUUUAGGACAUCAGAGACAGCCUUUGCGAUCAAGUAAUCUCGCCCCGUUACAACUGUGACGCGGCUUCCAUCUGGUCCUAAUCGGGAAGAGCGUGUAACCCUCGGCGAUCGCCAAGUCGUCCAUAGAGUUUUCCUUGGCAACGCUUAUGAUUUGUGAUCCUUCCGGGGUGUAGGGCAAGUACGAAAGCACCUGCCACCUUGGGAUAUCGAAAAAAAAAAAAAAAAUGAAAUUAUGAUUCAUCAUUCUGGCGACCCCUGUCUGACUCCUCCGCGAAGGCAGCGAGGAAGACGGGAUCGUCGCUCACAACCACCACCGUCACGCACUUGGAGAGGAAGCGCACCUGUGGCCAUCAGAAUGUUUGUUUAUAACGCAAGACUACAGAGUUCAUUACUAUUUUUAUUAUUAUUAUUUUAACCCUGUUAGGAAAACAAUAUCGUACCAAAA